This 253-nucleotide ribosomal RNA is filed under the name uncultured bacterium. RNAcentral's name for it is "partial 16S ribosomal RNA". It matches the Rfam family "Bacterial small subunit ribosomal RNA", at positions 524 to 776 of the family's 1533-position model. The record is from RNAcentral.
UACGAAGGGGGCUAGCGUUACUCGGAUUGACUGGGCGUAAAGGGCUCGUAGGCGGCCAACUAAGUCAGACGUGAAAUCCCUCGGCUUAACCGGGGAACUGCGUCUGAUACUGGAUGGCUUGAGUUCGGGAGAGGGAUGUGGAAUUCCAGGUGUAGCGGUGAAAUGCGUAGAUAUCUGGAGGAACACCGGUGGCGAAGGCGGCAUCCUGGACCGACACUGACGCUGAUGAGCGAAAGCCAGGGGAGCAAACGGG